Molecule: ribosomal RNA, 909 nt
Filed under: Dermatophagoides pteronyssinus (European house dust mite)
Lineage: Eukaryota; Metazoa; Arthropoda; Arachnida; Sarcoptiformes; Pyroglyphidae
Description: eukaryotic LSU rRNA
Rfam family: 5.8S ribosomal RNA (bases 513-665)
Source: RNAcentral
GUUUCCGUAGGUGAACCUGCGGAAGGAUCAUUAUCGAUUUUCUUGAGCAUUCAUUUUGCCCAAAAGAAACAUUCGAUUAUCAAUUCGAACGAAUCGUUGCCCGUUAUCACAAACGGAUCGACUGGCAAUUGUUGACACUGAUGAGGUUAUUGAAAGCUCUGAAAUUGUAUCCUGGUUUUCGUGUUGGGCGACAUGGAUGAAAACAAUGGGAGAAUUUCUUGAUUUAGGGGUUGGACCGAAUCAUGUCAACUUUGUUGGCGAUUCUCCUUGAUGCUUGUUGGUGCCUAGCCUACAGUUCCUGUUUGUCCUCGGGACAAAUGUGGAUGUAGUGUGUCGCUUUGUUGUUUUUGCAACAAGUGCCGCUAGGUUUAAAUACUGGAUUCGUCAUGGAACGAAUGCCGGAGCCACAGGUUCAAGGUAUUUUCUUUUUCAUUUAUGAAAAACAUUAAGCCAGAAACAUUGUUACAAACCAAAUUGUGAUUCUACAAAGAAUUGCAAAAAACAAGAAUAACUACUGCCAGUGGUGGAUCACUCGGCUCGCUGGUCGAGGAAGAACGCAGCUAGCUGCGUUAAUCGGUGUGAAAUGCAGGACACUCCGAUCACUCGACAUUCGAACGCACAUUGCAGCCAUUGGAUAGCCGAUGGCUUCGUUUGUCUGAGCGUCGUUUUCAAAUUAUGACCAAACAAAAUGGGAUAGAUCUGUUUCGUCGUGUAAACGUCGUCGGAUCAUUUCCAAACAUUUGAUAUGCUGACUUUUGUGGUGAAGAAGGCUUUGUAGCACAUUCACUCACAAAAGGUAUUUAGCGUUUCCAGCUUAACACCUUGAAUGUGUGCCUUGUAUAACCAAAGUAUAGUCGCAAAUCAUUGUCCAAUAAAAGUCUAAUUUCGACCUCAGAUCAAGCGAGAAUA